GAGUUUGAUCCUGGCUCAGGACGAACGCUGGCGGCGUGCCUAAUACAUGCAAGUCGAACGCUUUUUCUUUCACCGGAGCUUGCUCCACCGAAAGAAAAAGAGUGGCGAACGGGUGAGUAACACGUGGGUAACCUGCCCAUCAGAAGGGGAUAACACUUGGAAACAGGUGCUAAUACCGUAUAACACUAUUUUCCGCAUGGAAGAAAGUUGAAAGGCGCUUUUGCGUCACUGAUGGAUGGACCCGCGGUGCAUUAGCUAGUUGGUGAGGUAACGGCUCACCAAGGCAACGAUGCAUAGCCGACCUGAGAGGGUGAUCGGCCACACUGGGACUGAGACACGGCCCAGACUCCUACGGGAGGCAGCAGU
RNAcentral lists this ribosomal RNA (366 nucleotides) under Listeria monocytogenes. Its description in RNAcentral is "bacterial SSU rRNA". It matches the Rfam family "Bacterial small subunit ribosomal RNA", at positions 9 to 355 of the family's 1533-position model. Lineage: Bacteria; Bacillati; Bacillota; Bacilli; Caryophanales; Listeriaceae. The record is from RNAcentral.